RNAcentral lists this ribosomal RNA (555 nucleotides) under Brevibacillus sp. KNF6. RNAcentral's name for it is "bacterial SSU rRNA". It matches the Rfam family "Bacterial small subunit ribosomal RNA", at positions 337 to 873 of the family's 1533-position model. The record is from RNAcentral. Lineage: Bacteria; Bacillati; Bacillota; Bacilli; Caryophanales; Paenibacillaceae.
UCCUACGGGAAGCAGCAGUAGGGAAUAUUGGGCAAUGGAUGCAAGUCUGACCCAGCCAUGCCGCGUGCCGGAUGAAGGCCCUCAGGGUUGUAAACGGCUUUUAUUCGGGAAGAAGAGCAGGGAUGCGUCCUUGUGUGACGGUACCGAAUGAAUAAGCACCGGCUAACUCCGUGCCAGCAGCCGCGGUAAUACGGAGGGUGCGAGCGUUGUCCGGAUUUAUUGGGUUUAAAGGGUGCGUAGGUGGCUUUAUAAGUCAGUGGUGAAAUACGGUUGCUCAACAAUCGAGGUGCCAUUGAUACUGCAAAGCUUGAAAUAAUUGGAGGCUGCCGGAAUGGAUGGUGUAGCGGUGAAAUGCAUAGAUAUCAUCCAGAACACCGAUUGCGAAGGCAGGUGGCUACGAUUGGUUUGACACUGAGGCACGAAAGCAUGGGGAGCAAACAGGAUUAGAUACCCUGGUAGUCCAUGCUGUAAACGAUGAGGACUCUUUGUUUGACUGUAAAGUUGAGCGACUUAGGGAAACCGUUAAUCCUCCACAUGCGAUCCCGCGGUACCGGU